Molecule: ribosomal RNA, 433 nt
Filed under: Reishia luteostoma
Lineage: Eukaryota; Metazoa; Mollusca; Gastropoda; Neogastropoda; Muricidae
Description: Thais luteostoma partial small subunit ribosomal RNA
Rfam family: Bacterial large subunit ribosomal RNA
Source: RNAcentral
CCGUGCAAAGGUAGCAUAAUCAUUUGCCUUAUAAUUGAAGGCUAGUAUGAAUGGUUUGACGAGAAUUAAGCUGUCUCUUUUUAACUAAAUAUAACUUUAUUAAGAGGUGAAGAAGCCUGUAUUUUAUUGAAAGACAAGAAGACCCUAUCGAGCUUUAAAGAAUUUAGUAGAUUUACCAUAUAUUAAUAAAAAAGUAAAGCAACUAAAUAUUUUGGUUGGGGCGACUGAGGAACAAACAAAGCUUCCUUUAUGCUAAUUAAAACUUACAAGUAUUGAUCCAAUUUAUUUGAUUAAAGAAAUUAGUUACCGUAGGGAUAACAGCAUAAUCCCCUUUGAGAGUUCUUAUCGAAAAGGGGGUUUGUGACCUCGAUGUUGGACCAGAAUACCCAGAAGAUGCAGCCGUCUUCAAUGGUUGGUCUGUUCGACCAUUAAA